CUUUGACCUUGAAUAACUUACGACGCAGACACGAGAUUUUAUGAGACUUUUGAGACAACUUUUAGAAAGCCAAAAUUAAGUGACUGGACUAAAUUACAGACUAAUGAAAUGCAAACUUGGAACUCACGCUUGCUAAAAUGGCGGCACAUACUGGUAAUUUCUAUCCCAAUAUCGUUGCCAAAUGCCAAUGUAUAAUACACAGGUCGAUGCUGUACCUUUGUGAUAGCAAAUUUAGAUAUUUGUUAUAACCACUAUGUACUUCUGCUGGUAAAAUGGCAGUUAUCCGUGAUUUGUACCAUCCUGCACAUAACCUAACUAACAAACGUGUAAAAUACUAAGACAUUCUUCCCGCCUAAAUUAAUAUAAACACAUUGCUUCAAUGGUACAACACACUGUUAUUUUAAUUUCUAUUUGUAAAUAAAAUACUUUCAAUACAUUUCAAAUAAUUUAUUAACUCUAUUUCAAAAGUUUCACUCCAUAAUGUAAUGUAAUAUAAUUAAUAAUAAAAAAAAAUACAGUAUUAUUAGUUUAUGAACUUGACACAUGACAACAAUCAAGUGUUACACUUUACAACUCCAAAUAGUGGGUGGCAAAGUUCUCAAAACGUUGAUCAACACAAAAAACCGUUGGCGAGUUUGAAUCCAAACCUGCAUGUACGGUUCAAUAAACUCACUACAAGAAUUGUACUUUCAAGAGCAGCGGGAAACACGCAUGUAGUGCAGGUUAAAUUGCGAUUUUUCAGCAUCAAGAUCUAACGCUACAGGUAUGUAUGUCUUUCAUUACAUCAUAAUUAAAAAAUACGUAAAAAAAAAGGAAAAAAUAUACAA
Long non-coding RNA from Zophobas morio, 827 nucleotides. RefSeq lists it as uncharacterized. The transcript is spliced from 2 exons. The record is from RefSeq and is a predicted model, not a curated record. Lineage: Eukaryota; Metazoa; Arthropoda; Insecta; Coleoptera; Tenebrionidae.